Molecule: ribosomal RNA, 460 nt
Filed under: uncultured bacterium
Lineage: Bacteria
Description: partial 16S ribosomal RNA
Rfam family: Bacterial small subunit ribosomal RNA
Source: RNAcentral
CCUACGGGAGGCAGCAGUGAGGAAUAUUGGUCAAUGGGCGGAAGCCUGAACCAGCCAAGUCGCGUGAGGGAUUAAGGCCCUGCGGGUCGUAAACCUCUUUUGCCGGGGAGCAGUGGUCCGGACGCGUCCGGACCGGGAGAGUACCCGGAGAAAAAGCAUCGGCUAACUACGUGCCAGCCGCCGCGGUCAUACGGAGGGUGCGAGCGUUAUCCGGAUUUAUUGGGUUUAAAGGGUGCGUAGGCGGGCAUUUAAGCCGGCGGUCAAAUGUCGGGGCUCAACCCCGGCCUGCCGUCGGAACUGGGUACCUUGGGUGGGCGAGAAGGAGGCGGAAUGCGUGGUGGAGCGGGGGAAUGCAUAGAUAUCACGCAGAACCACGAUUGCGAAGGCAGCAGACCGGCGCCCUACUGACGGUGAGGCACGAAAGUGCGGGUAUCGAACAGGAUUAGAUACCCCAGGAGGC